CGCGUAGGUGGUUCAGUCAGUCAGAUGUGAAAGCCCCGGGCUCAACCUGGGAAUUGCACCUGAUACUGCUGAGCUAGAGUACGGUAGAGGGUAGUGGAAUUUCCGGUGUAGCGGUGAAAUGCGUAGAGAUCGGAAGGAACACCAGUGGCGAAGGCGACUACCUGGACCGAUACUGACACUGAGGUGCGAAAGCGUGGGUAGCAAACA
This 207-nucleotide ribosomal RNA is filed under the name uncultured bacterium. RNAcentral's name for it is "partial 16S ribosomal RNA". It matches the Rfam family "Bacterial small subunit ribosomal RNA", at positions 568 to 774 of the family's 1533-position model. The record is from RNAcentral.